This 465-nucleotide ribosomal RNA is filed under the name Vreelandella stevensii. RNAcentral's name for it is "partial 16S ribosomal RNA". It matches the Rfam family "Bacterial small subunit ribosomal RNA", at positions 338 to 795 of the family's 1533-position model. The record is from RNAcentral. Lineage: Bacteria; Pseudomonadati; Pseudomonadota; Gammaproteobacteria; Oceanospirillales; Halomonadaceae.
CCUACGGGAGACUGCAGUGGGGAAUAUUGGACAAUGGGGGCAACCCUGAUCCAGCCAUGCCGCGUGUGUGAAGAAGGCCCUCGGGUUGUAAAGCACUUUCAGUGAGGAAGAACGCCUGGUGGUUAAUACCCAUCAGGAAAGACAUCACUCACAGAAGAAGCACCGGCUAACUCCGUGCCAGCAGCCGCGGUAAUACGGAGGGUGCGAGCGUUAAUCGGAAUUACUGGGCGUAAAGCGCGCGUAGGUGGCUUGAUAAGCCGGUUGUGAAAGCCCCGGGCUCAACCUGGGAACGGCAUCCGGAACUGUCAAGCUAGAGUGCAGGAGAGGAAGGUAGAAUUCCCGGUGUAGCGGUGAAAUGCGUAGAGAUCGGGAGGAAUACCAGUGGCGAAGGCGGCCUUCUGGACUGACACUGACACUGAGGUGCGAAAGCGUGGGUAGCAAACAGGAUUAGAUACCCGUGUAGUC